This 484-nucleotide ribosomal RNA is filed under the name uncultured bacterium. RNAcentral's name for it is "partial 16S ribosomal RNA". It matches the Rfam family "Bacterial small subunit ribosomal RNA", at positions 32 to 507 of the family's 1533-position model. The record is from RNAcentral.
AUUUAACGCUGGCGGCAGGCAUAACACAUGCAAGUCGAGCGGAUGAAGGGAGCUUGCUCCUGGAUUCAGCGGCGGACGGGUGAGUAAUGCCUAGGAAUCUGCCUGGUAGUGGGGGAUAACGUCCGGAAACGGGCGCUAAUACGGCAUACGUCCUGAGGGAGAAAGUGGGGGAUCUUCGAACCUCUCGCUAUCAGAUGAGCCUAGGUCGGAUUAGCUAGUUGGUGGGGUAAAGGCCUACCAAGGCGACGAUCCGUAACUGGUCUGAGAGGAUGAUCAGUCACACUGGAACUGAGACACGGUCCAGACUCCUACGGGAGGCAGCAGUGGGGAAUAUUGGACAAUGGGCGAAAGCCUGAACCAGCCAUGCCGCGUGUGUGAAGAAGGUCUUCGGAUUGUAAAGCACAUUAAGUUGGGAGGAAGGGCAGUAAGUUAAUACCUUGCUGUUUUGACGUUACCAUCAGAAUAAGCACCGGCUAACUUCGUG